RNAcentral lists this ribosomal RNA (717 nucleotides) under uncultured bacterium. Its description in RNAcentral is "bacterial SSU rRNA". It matches the Rfam family "Bacterial small subunit ribosomal RNA", at positions 94 to 798 of the family's 1533-position model. The record is from RNAcentral.
AGCGGCGGACGGGUGAGUAACACGUGGGUAACCUGCCCAAGAGACCGGGAUAACACCUGGAAACAGAUGCUAAUACCGGAUAACAACACUAGACGCAUGUCUAGAGUUUGAAAGAUGGUUCUGCUAUCACUCUUGGAUGGACCUGCGGUGCAUUAGCUAGUUGGUAAGGUAACGGCUCACCAAGGCGACGAUGCAUAGCCGAGUUGAGAGACUGAUCGGCCACAUUGGGACUGAGACACGGCCCAAACUCCUACGGGAGGCAGCAGUAGGGAAUCUUCCACAAUGGACGCAAGUCUGAUGGAGCAACGCCGCGUGAGUGAAGAAGGUUUUCGGAUCGUAAAGCUCUGUUGUUGGUGAAGAAGGAUAGAGGUAGUAACUGGCCUUUAUUUGACGGUAAUCAACCAGAAAGUCACGGCUAACUACGUGCCAGCAGCCGCGGUAAUACGUAGGUGGCAAGCGUUGUCCGGAUUUAUUGGGCGUAAAGCGAGCGCAGGCGGAAAAAUAAGUCUAAUGUGAAAGCCCUCGGCUUAACCGAGGAACUGCAUCGGAGACUGUUUUUCUUGAGUGCAGAAGAGGAGAGUGGAACUCCAUGUGUAGCGGUGGAAUGCGUAGAUAUAUGGAAGAACACCAGUGGCGAACGCGGCUCUCUGGUCUGCAACUGACGCUGAGGCUCGAAAGCAUGGGUAGCGAACAGGAUUAGAUACCCUGGUAGUCCAU